RNAcentral lists this transfer RNA (86 nucleotides) under Candidatus Gerdarchaeota archaeon. Its description in RNAcentral is "tRNA-Leu". It matches the Rfam family "tRNA". From Rfam's summary of the family: Transfer RNA (tRNA) molecules are approximately 80 nucleotides in length. Their secondary structure includes four short double-helical elements and three loops (D, anti-codon, and T loops). Further hydrogen bonds mediate the characteristic L-shaped molecular structure. tRNAs have two regions of fundamental functional importance: the anti-codon, which is responsible for specific mRNA codon recognition, and the 3' end, to which the tRNAs corresponding amino acid is attached (by aminoacyl-tRNA synthetases). tRNAs cope with the degeneracy of the genetic code in two manners: having more than one tRNA (with a specific anti-codon) for a particular amino acid; and 'wobble' base-pairing, i.e. permitting non-standard base-pairing at the 3rd anti-codon position. The record is from RNAcentral. Lineage: Archaea; Promethearchaeati; Candidatus Gerdarchaeota.
GCGGGGAUAGUCAAGUGGUCAAAGACGCAAGAUUCAGGCUCUUGUCUCGUAGGAGUGCAGGGGUUCGACUCCCCUUCCCCGCACCA